UGCCGCUCCUGCUCCGGCUGUGCCCGGUGCGGGUCGGGGCCCCGCCGGGGCUCGGUUCUGCUCGAGCCGCUCAUCCGACACCUGCCAGGUCAUCAGAUAUCCUGAGUGGGAAGGAACACACAAGGAGCACCAAGUUGAACCCUUAUGUGAAUGGCUCAUCUGGGGACUGAACCCACAGCCUGGGCAUUUUCAGCACCCUGCUCCAACCAAGCCAGUGUCAGGUCAUGGCAAUGUCCUGCCUGGGAUGGGAAUGCCAAGUCCCAGCAAGGGAAUUCCUAUGCCAGUGUACCUCCUUCUUUUAUGCUGAUGCUGCUUUACACACCAGCCCCUGGAGUGUCCACAGGGCAGAGCUCCAUGGCCAGCAUCUGACUGUGGAACAACACAGGGAGAAACAAGCAAGACAAGUCCUGAGGGUUCCCUUGGUCCGUGGCCAAAGUUCUUCUGGAGAGUGUCGGGGCUGGUCCCGCCUGCAGAGGGGCGUUUCCUGCAGGGGCUGCUCUGAACAGGCACCCAGAGAUGCUGCAGCCCGGACAGAGCCCACUGACAUCCCAAAAAUAGCCCAAGAACAGCUGGCAUUGCCUGGGAAUGUCGGCACGUUGGGUUUGCAGAGGAGCUCAGACAGCAAUUCCUGGUGCCCAGCUCCUGGAGCUCCCACACACCCACCAGGUAUGUCCCAGCCACCCCAAUCCCUUCCCUUCCAGCCUGGGGACAGCCUCCAGCAGCAGCGUUAAAGCCAAGGGAAUUUCCCUCACAGAAAUUCAAUCCCAAGCAAUGCCCUCGGAG
This is a long non-coding RNA of Vidua chalybeata, 783 nucleotides long. RefSeq lists it as uncharacterized. Lineage: Eukaryota; Metazoa; Chordata; Aves; Passeriformes; Viduidae. The transcript has 4 exons. The record is from RefSeq and is a predicted model, not a curated record.